GCAGCAGGCGCGCAAAUUACCCAAUCCCGAUACGGGGAGGUAGUGACAAUAAAUAACAAUACAGGGCUUUUCAGUCUUGUAAUUGGAAUGAGUACAAUUUAAAUCUCUUAACGAGGAACAAUUGGAGGGCAAGUCUGGUGCCAGCAGCCGCGGUAAUUCCAGCUCCAAUAGCGUAUAUUAAAGUUGUUGCAGUUAAAAAGCUCGUAGUUGAAUUUUAGGCCCGGUUGGACGGUCUGCCUUUGGGUUUGUACUGUCCUGACUGGGCCUUACCUUCUGGUGAGCUGUCGUGUUGUUUACUCAGCGCGGCAGGGAACCAGGACUUUUACUUUGAAAAAAUUAGAGUGUUUAAAGCAGGCAUUCGCUUGAAUACAUUAGCAUGGAAUAAUAGAAUAGGACAUCGGUUCUAUUUUGUUGGUUUCUAGGACCGCUGUAAUGAUUAAUAGGGAUAGUCGGGGGCGUCAGUAUUCAAUUGUCAGAGGUGAAAUUCUUGGAUUUAUUGAAGACUAACUACUGCGAAAGCAUUCGCCAAGGAUGUUUUCAUUAAUCAGUGAACGAAAGUUAGGGGAUCGAAGACGAUCAGAUACCGUCGUAGUCUUAACCAUAAACUAUGCCGACUAGGGAUCGGACGGUGGUUUUUUUAUGCCCCGUUCGGCACCUUACGAG
RNAcentral lists this ribosomal RNA (663 nucleotides) under uncultured fungus. RNAcentral's name for it is "SSU rRNA". It matches the Rfam family "Eukaryotic small subunit ribosomal RNA", at positions 425 to 1094 of the family's 1831-position model. Lineage: Eukaryota; Fungi. The record is from RNAcentral.